Molecule: small RNA, 1851 nt
Filed under: Pongo abelii (Sumatran orangutan)
Lineage: Eukaryota; Metazoa; Chordata; Mammalia; Primates; Hominidae
Description: retained intron
Source: RNAcentral
GGCACCGCGGCGCUCGGGUGUUUUUGGGUGCCCGGGUGGAGGGCCCAGGUGCCGGGGCCCGAGGUGCGGCCUCGCUAGCGGGAGAGGGAGCGGGAUCACCGGCCCAGAGAGAGCUCUCAGGGCCAGAGCGGGGCAGGAGGAUGCUUUCCCAGCCCCACCAUGGAGCUGCGCUGUGGGGGAUUGCUGUUCAGUUCUCGCUUUGAUUCAGGGAAUCUAGCCCACGUGGAGAAGGUGGAAUCUUUGUCCAGUGAUGGGGAAGGGGUAGGAUGUGGGGCGUCAGCCCUGACCAGUAGCAUUGCCUCUUCCCCUGACUAUGAAUUCAACGUGUGGACCCGACCAGACUGUGCUGAAACGGAAUUUGAGAAUGGGAACAGGUCAUGGUUCUACUUCAGCGUCCGGGGAGGAAUGCCAGGAAAACUCAUCAAGAUCAACAUUAUGAACAUGAACAAGCAAAGCAAGCUGUAUUCCCAGGGCAUGGCCCCCUUUGUGCGCACACUGCCCACCCGGCCACGCUGGGAACGCAUUCGAGACCGGCCCACCUUUGAGAUGACAGAGACGCAGUUUGUGUUAUCCUUUGUUCAUCGUUUCGUGGAGGGCCGUGGGGCCACCACCUUCUUCGCCUUCUGCUACCCCUUCUCCUACAGUGACUGCCAGGAACUGCUAAACCAGCUAGACCAGCGCUUUCCGGAGAACCACCCUACCCAUAGCAGCCCCCUGGAUACCAUCUAUUACCAUCGGGAGCUCCUUUGCUAUUCUCUGGAUGGACUUCGUGUAGAUCUGCUGACGAUCACUUCCUGCCAUGGGCUUCGAGAAGAUCGAGAGCCCCGUCUAGAGCAGCUAUUUCCUGAUACCAGCACCCCUCGACCAUUCCGUUUCGCAGGCAAGAGGAUAUUCUUCUUAAGCAGUAGAGUACACCCAGGGGAGACUCCAUCUAGCUUUGUCUUCAAUGGCUUUCUGGACUUCAUCCUCCGACCUGAUGAUCCCCGGGCCCAAACCCUCCGUCGCCUCUUCGUCUUUAAGCUGAUUCCCAUGUUGAACCCCGAUGGUGUGGUCCGGGGACACUACCGCACAGACUCACGUGGAGUGAAUCUGAACCGUCAGUACCUGAAGCCUGAUGCCAUCCUGCACCCGGCCAUCUAUGGGGCCAAAGCUGUGCUUCUCUACCACCAUGUGCACUCUCGUCUGAACUCCCAGAGUUCCUCUGAGCACCAGCCCAGUCCCUGUCUCCCUCCUGAUGCUCCUGUUUCUGACCUGGAGAAAGCCAACAAUCUCCAAAAUGAAGCUCAGUGUGGGCACUCAGCUGACAGGCAUAAUGCUGAAGCCUGGAAACAAACAGAGCCAGCAGAACAGAAGCUCAACAGUGUGUGGAUUAUGCCACAACAGUCUGCGGGGCUUGAAGAGCCAGCCCCUGAUACCAUCCCCCCCAAAGAGAGUGGCGUUGCUUACUAUGUGGACCUGCAUGGACAUGCUUCCAAAAGGGGCUGCUUCAUGUACGGAAACAGCUUUAGUGAUGAGAGCACCCAGGUGGGAGUCCUAAGAAUGUCAUGUGAGUGUGAGAAGUGUUGCAAGUUAGGAGAUGGGGUUGGGCCAUGAACAGAGGGAAGAUAGCCUUAGGUAGCCUUCUGGAAGGAAGGCCUGUGUAGACUACCUCUGAAAAAGCUUUGAAGGGCCAAGAAGAGAUGGCACAGGGGGAUUAUGUCUCAAUCGUUACAUCAUGACCUUUUAUUAAGGAAAGCUAACUGCAUUAUAGUCUUUGCUAGAGUCUGGGAAUCCAGAGAAGGAAAAUUUUGCAUUGUUGGAGGGAAGAAGCUAAAAGCUUAAAAAAAAAGAAUUGCUUCCCAACACCUAGAA